This 279-nucleotide ribosomal RNA is filed under the name uncultured bacterium. RNAcentral's name for it is "partial 16S ribosomal RNA". It matches the Rfam family "Bacterial small subunit ribosomal RNA", at positions 506 to 784 of the family's 1533-position model. The record is from RNAcentral.
UGCCAGCAGCCGCGGUAAUACGGGGGGUGCAAGCGUUGUCCGGAAUCAUUGGGCGUAAAGGGUUCGUAGGUGGAAUUGUAAGUCUGGUGUGAAAGCCCACAGCUUAACUGUGGAACUGCACUGGAUACUGCUUUUCUUGAAUUACAGAGGGGGUUGUGGAAUUUCUGGUGUAGAGGUGAAAUUUGUAGAGAUCAGAAAGAACACCGGUGGCGAAGGCGACAACCUGGCUGUUAAUUGACACUGAGGAACGAAAGCGUGGGGAGCGAACAGGAUUAGAUA